RNAcentral lists this ribosomal RNA (497 nucleotides) under uncultured bacterium. Its description in RNAcentral is "partial 16S ribosomal RNA". It matches the Rfam family "Bacterial small subunit ribosomal RNA", at positions 28 to 507 of the family's 1533-position model. The record is from RNAcentral.
GAUGAACGCUGGCGGCGUGCCUAAUACAUGCAAGUCGAGCGAACGGACGAGAAGCUUGCUUCUCUGAUGUUAGCGGCGGACGGGUGAGUAACACGUGGAUAACCUACCUAUAAGACUGGGAUAACUUCGGGAAACCGUAGCUAAUACCGGAUAAUAUUUUGAACCGCAUGGUUCAAAAGUGAAAGACGGUCUUGCUGUCACUUAUAGAUGGAUCCGCGCUGCAUUAGCUAGUUGGUAAGGUAACGGCUUACCAAGGCAACGAUGCAUAGCCGACCUGAGAGGGUGAUCGGCCACACUGGAACUGAGACACGGUCCAGACUCCUACGGGAGGCAGCAGUAGGGAAUCUUCCGCAAUGGGCGAAAGCCUGACGGAGCAACGCCGCGUGAGUGAUGAAGGUCUUCGGAUCGUAAAACUCUGUUAUUAGGGAAGAACGUAUGUGUAAGUAACUGUGCACAUCUUGACGGUACCUAAUCAGAAAGCCACGGCUAACUACGUG